GAAAUGCGAUAAGUAAUGUGAAUUGCAGAAUUCAGUGAAUCAUCGAAUCUUUGAACGCACAUUGCGCCCGUCAGCAUUCUGGCGGGCAUGCCUGUUCGAGCGUCAUUUCAACCCUCAGGACCCCCCUUUCGCGGGGAGGGACCUGGCGUUGGGGAUCGGCCCGCCCCCCGCGGCGGCGCCGUCCCCGAAAUCUAGUGGCGGUCUCGCUGCAGCCUCCCCUGCGUAGUAGUUACAACCUCGCAUCGGAGCGCGGCGCGGCCACGCCGUAAAACCCCCGACUUUCUGAACGUUGACCUCGGAUCAGGUAGGAAUACCCGCUGAACUUAGGC
Molecule: unclassified non-coding RNA, 329 nt
Filed under: plant metagenome
Description: partial contains 5.8S ribosomal RNA, internal transcribed spacer 2, and large subunit ribosomal RNA
Rfam family: 5.8S ribosomal RNA (bases 1-105)
Source: RNAcentral